Molecule: ribosomal RNA, 491 nt
Filed under: uncultured bacterium
Lineage: Bacteria
Description: partial 16S ribosomal RNA
Rfam family: Bacterial small subunit ribosomal RNA
Source: RNAcentral
AGUGAACGCUGGCGGUAGGCCUAACACAUGCAAGUAGAACGGCAGCACAGUAAGAGCUUGCUCUUACGGGUGGCGAGUGGCGGACGGGUGAGGAAUACAUCGGAAUCUACUUUUUCGUGGGGGAUAACGUAGGGAAACUUACGCUAAUACCGCAUACGACCUACGGGUGAAAGCAGGGGAUCUUCGGACCUUGCGCGAUUGAAUGAGCCGAUGUCGGAUUAGCUAGUUGGCGGGGUAAAGGCCCACCAAGGCGACGAUCCGUAGCUGGGCUGAGAGGAUGAUCAGCCACACUGGAACUGAGACACGGUCCAGACUCCUACGGGAGGCAGCAGUGGGGAAUAUUGGACAAUGGGCGCAAGCCUGAUCCAGCCAUACCGCGUGGGUGAAGAAGGCCUUCGGGUUGUAAAGCCCUUUUGUUGGGAAAGAAAAGCAGCAGGUUAAUACCCCGCUGUUCUGACGGUACCCAAAGAAUAAGCACCGGCUAACUUCGU